AGACCCGACUUUGAAGUUUCCUUUCUUACUCCCUUUUGAGUUAACGCGGCCAAUGAGUUCUCACGGCAUGACGGCGAUGUGCAAAUAAAUGCUAGUGCAUAAAAGGAACGACUGUGUUCGUGAUUUCAACUGAGGGAGUAACAUUCUCUUUGUUUGACUCAAAUGAACUCUAGAAAACAACAUGUGGAGCUAGUGAGUCAUGUCUAUAUUUGGAACAUAAUGGGAAAAACAGCAACAUAAGAUAAUUAAAGAGCUGAAUAAUAAUAAUAUUA
This is a long non-coding RNA of Centropristis striata (black sea bass), 272 nucleotides long. RefSeq lists it as uncharacterized. Lineage: Eukaryota; Metazoa; Chordata; Actinopteri; Perciformes; Serranidae. The record is from RefSeq and is a predicted model, not a curated record. The transcript has 2 exons.